UCUGAAACACAUCCGAUGUAAGAUACGCGUCUUGCAGCCACACAAUUGGUUCCAGUUUCAAAUUAUUAUUAUUUUUUUUUUUCAGCACCAGCUGGUGUGGAGGGCGUGCCUCUUCAGCCGUGCAACUGUGGACUUGAGGUCAAACACCUUGGCCUGAUCCCUGCGGAGGAUUUUGGCUCUGGGACAAAGAUCGUAAGAAAAGUCUUCGCCGUAUCUCCUCCACAUCACAUCGUACCCACUCAGGUUGUAGAUGUCAACAUGAAAUGGAAUGUUGUAGGACGGCCAGUAUCCUGAAAGAGAAAAGAAAAUCGUAUCCAGAUAAAACAACAACAGAGAGCUUGAGUCUGGUCCGUGUGGAGAACUUUCCCAGGGAUCUGCUCCACAACAGUCAAACCUCCCGUCCUGAUACUAUGUCCAGGGUAACUGCUGAAUGACAUUUUUCCAGUGGCCCCAUGAGACACCCUGAGGUCCCAGUGUUUAUAGAUGCGCAUGGUGGCCGCAUA
This is a long non-coding RNA of Hippocampus comes (tiger tail seahorse), 503 nucleotides long. RefSeq lists it as uncharacterized. The record is from RefSeq and is a predicted model, not a curated record. The transcript has 4 exons. NCBI's taxonomy places the organism in Eukaryota, Metazoa, Chordata, Actinopteri, Syngnathiformes, Syngnathidae.